GGGAAGGAGGAGAAACAGUAAGGAGAGAGAGAGAAAAUAGAGGAGGGUAAUUUAGUCCUUUAAAGCACUCUCUCUCCUUGGACCAGUGAGACUAACGAUUGAAUUGGACGGAAGUACUUUGAAUUUUGAUAGAGUGAAAAGUAGAGGGUUAAAUAAUUUAGUUUUUAAAAUAAAGGGAUCCAAUCAUUAUCAAUGAUAAAUUCAGGAACUAAAUGGUCUGUAACAAUUGAAAUGAUGUAGAAAGAAAAAAACAAAGAGAAAAAUGACAUUCUUCUUGUUCUGCCAUCCAUUAGUUGUUGGCUUUCUUCUUCAUGGAGAUUUAUCUAAGUUAUCUUUAU
This 338-nucleotide unclassified non-coding RNA is filed under the name Hevea brasiliensis (rubber tree). The record is from RNAcentral. Lineage: Eukaryota; Viridiplantae; Streptophyta; Magnoliopsida; Malpighiales; Euphorbiaceae.